This 440-nucleotide ribosomal RNA is filed under the name uncultured bacterium. RNAcentral's name for it is "partial 16S ribosomal RNA". It matches the Rfam family "Bacterial small subunit ribosomal RNA", at positions 338 to 795 of the family's 1533-position model. The record is from RNAcentral.
CCUACGGGUGGCAGCAGUAGGGAAUAUUGCGCAAUGGGCGAAAGCCUGACGCAGCAACGCCGCGUGAACGAGACGGGCUUUGGGGUUUUAAGCUUUUUUUGUCGGGACCAAAGCAGAUGGUACUCACAGAGGAAGCACCGGCUAACUCCGUGCCAGCAGCAGCGGCAAUACGGAGGAGGCAACAGUCGUCCGGAUUCUUUGGGCGUAAAGAGGUCGUAGGCGGUAUGGCAAGUCAGGUGUUAAAUGCAUAAGCUCAACUUGUGGUCGGCAUUUGAAACUGGCGAACUAGAGUGCGGGAGAGGUAAAUGGAAUUCCUGGUGUAGCGGUGAAAUGCGUAGAUAUCAGGAGGAACAUCAGUGGCGAAGGCGCUUUGCUGGACCGUAAUUGACGCUGAGGAGCGAAAGCGAGGGUAGCAAACAGGAUUAGAUACCCUAGUAGUC